RNA transcript from Cinclus cinclus, 1722 nucleotides. It is a transcript of the gene named leucine aminopeptidase 3, with no coding region annotated. NCBI's taxonomy places the organism in Eukaryota, Metazoa, Chordata, Aves, Passeriformes, Cinclidae. The record is from RefSeq and is a predicted model, not a curated record. The transcript is spliced from 14 exons.
CAUGCUGCUGCCCUGCGUGCGGAGCGUGGCCGUUCGCCGCCUCGCCCGGGACGUGCCCCGGGCCUGCAGCUGCUCGGCGCAGGGCCCCUCGCCGCGGGGCUACAGCCGCGGCUCGGCCGGGAAGGGUCUUGUUCUGGGAGCCUACUCUAGUGAAAAGGAUGAUGGUGCUUCCCAGUUGACUAGUGCAGGAGAUGCUUUUGAUAGGCUUGUGUCUGGAAAGCUGAGAGCACUUCUUUCCCUGUGUGGGCCACCUUUGAAGAAAGGCAAAACACGCAUAUUUCAUGGUUUGCAUCAGGACUUCCCAAGUGUGGCAGUAGUUGGCCUGGGUAAGAAGAAUGCUGGAAUAAAUGAACAAGAAAACUGGAAUGAAGGCAAAGAAAAUAUUCGUACAGCUGUUGCAGUUGGCUGCAGGCAGAUCCAGGACCUGGAGAUCCCUUGUGUGGAAGUAGACCCCUGUGGAGAUGCACAAGCAGCUGCAGAAGGUGCUGUCCUUGGAUUGCAUGAAUAUAAUGAGCUGAAGCAAAAAAAGAAGCCUGUAGUUACUCCUCAGCUUCAUGGAAGUGCUGAAAGUGGUGCCUGGCAAAAAGGUGUUAUCUACGCUGAGGGGCAGAACCUUGCUCGGUACCUUAUGGAGGCUCCAGCUAAUUAUAUAACUCCAAUCAAGUUUGCUGAACAUAUUGAACAGAAGCUCAGAAGUUUCAGCAAUGUAAAGGUGCACAUAAGACAGGAGUCUUGGAUAACAACACAAGAGAUGGGAGCAUUCCUGAGUGUAGCUAAGGGUUCAGCUGAACCUCCCAUCUUCCUGGAGAUUCACUAUUUAGGGAGUCCUAAUACAGAUGACUCCCCGUUGGUAUUUGUAGGAAAAGGAGUUACAUUUGACAGUGGUGGCAUUUCACUGAAGCCAUCAUCGGGUAUGGAUGCAAUGAGAGCAGAUAUGGGAGGAGCAGCAACUGUCUGUUCAGCCAUUGUGACAGCAGCAGCUCUAAAUCUACCUUUGAACAUAAUUGGUUUGGCACCGCUCUGUGAAAAUAUGCCAAGUGGUAAGGCAAACAAGCCUGGGGAUGUAGUUAGAGCCAAGAAUGGAAAAACAAUACAGGUAGAUAACACAGAUGCAGAAGGAAGACUGCUGUUAGCUGAUGCUCUCUGUUAUGCCCACAAUUUUAAUGCAAAGGCUAUUGUGAAUGCUGCAACCUUAACAGGUGCCAUGGAUGUUGCAUUGGGAUCUGCUGCAACUGGAGUGUUCACAAAUUCAUCUUGGCUUUGGACUCACCUCUAUGAGGCCAGCAUUUUGACAGGGGACAGAGUUUGGAGGAUGCCUCUUUUUGAGCAUUACACAAAACAAGUCACAGACUGUCCUCUUGCAGAUGUGAGUAACAUUGGAAAGUACAGCAGAGCUGGAGGAGCAUGCACAGCUGCUGCAUUCCUGAAGGAAUUUGUGACUGCCUCUCACUGGGCUCAUUUGGAUAUAGCUGGGGUGAUGUCCAAUAAAGAUGAGGUGCCGUAUCUUCGGAAGGGCAUGGCAGGGCGGCCCACGAGAACACUCGUUGAGUUUGCAGCUCGAUUAAGUCAAGACAGUCACAAUGCCAAAUAAAAAUACUUGUUCUAAAAUCAUCCACUCUGCCUUAAGGAAAAAAAAUCUUAAAAGGUGCGAGGAGAACGGUGCCUGACGGCUCUCAGCGGCGCCCAGCGCCAGGCCGAGGAGCGAUGGCCGUGACCGAGCCC